This 162-nucleotide small RNA is filed under the name Streptomyces rubrolavendulae. RNAcentral's name for it is "c-di-AMP sequence". It matches the Rfam family "c-di-AMP riboswitch aptamer (ydaO/yuaA leader)". Rfam says of the family: This family represents a conserved RNA structure found upstream of the ydaO and yuaA genes in Bacillus subtilis and related genes in other bacteria. The ydaO/yuaA element is thought to act as a genetic "off" switch for the ydaO and yuaA genes in its native state. It is believed that the element may be triggered during osmotic shock leading to activation of ydaO, a predicted amino acid transporter gene, and members of the yuaA-yubG operon which code for KtrA and KtrB K+ transporters. Lineage: Bacteria; Bacillati; Actinomycetota; Actinomycetes; Kitasatosporales; Streptomycetaceae. The record is from Rfam by way of RNAcentral.
GGGCAGCGAUCGCCGAAUCCCCGUCAGGCGCGAGCCUGGGGAGCCGGGGACCCAUGUCCCCUGGGGUGAAUCGGACGCCUUCGCACCGCGCGGAGGGGCCCGUAGGAGACCUUCCUGCUCCGAACCCGUCAGCUAACCCGGUAGGCGAGAGGGAAGGAAAGG